GGAAGGGCACCACCAGGAGUGGAGCCUGCGGCUUAAUUUGACUCAACACGGGAAAACUCACCAGGUCCAGACACAUUAAGGAUUGACAGAUUGAGAGCUCUUUCUUGAUUAUGUGGGUGGUGGUGCAUGGCCGUUCUUAGUUGGUGGAGUGAUUUGUCUGCUUAAUUGCGAUAACGAACGAGACCUUAACCUGCUAAAUAGCCAGGCAAGAUUUAUCUGGUCGUCGGCUUCUUAGAGGGACUAUCGGCUCAAGCCGAUGGAAGUUUGAGGCAAUAACAGGUCUGUGAUGCCCUUAGAUGUUCUGGGCCGCACGCGCGCUACACUGACAGAGCCAACGAGUACAAACCUUUACCGAAAGGUAUGGGUAAUCUUGUUAAACUCUGUCGUGCUGGGGAUAGAGCAUUGCAAUUAUUGCUCUUCAACGAGGAAUUCCUAGUAAGCGCAAGUCAUCAGCUUGCGUUGAUUACGUCCCUGCCCUUUGUACACACCGCCCGUCGCUACUACCGAUUGAAUGGCUCAGUGAGGCCUCCGGACUGGCUCCAGGAGAUAGGUAACUGUCACCCAGAGCCGGAAAGUUGGUCAAACUUGGUCAUUUAGAGGAAGUAAAAGUCGUAACAAGGUUUCCGUAGGUGAACCUGCGGAAGGAUCAUUAAUUGAUACCAAGGCCGGCCCGAAAGUUCCUUGGGACAAUAGGGCAGACCUGGAAACCCACUGUGGAAAGACCUGUUGCUUUGGCAGCCGUCCAUGACCUGGAAUAGUAAGUCUGUCGAAAGCUCUUAUCUCAAACUCUUUGCCAAAUUGUCUGAAAAAAGAACGAUUUGAAUUUUUAUAAAACUUUCAACAACGGAUCUCUUGGUUCUCGCAUCGAUGAAGAACGCAGCGAAACGCGAUAGGUAAUGUGAAUUGCAGAAUUCAGUGAAUCAUCGAAUCUUUGAACGCAUAUUGCGCCUUUUGGUAUUCCGAGAGGCAUGUCUGUUUGAGCGUCAAGGAAAACCUCGGGAGGAUUCCUUUGGGAAUUUUCUCUCGGCUUUUGGACCCGGGGCAGGAAAUGUCCUCGGCCUUCAAUCUGGAGUGAUUGCGGACCGACCUCCUCGUCACAACGUAGUAGAUUUUUGUCUGUCGUUUGGACGUUUGGAGGGCUGUUGUCCAGCCUUGAAAACAAUACCGACCAGUUUGACCUCAAAUCAGACAAGGAUACCCGCUGAACUUAAGCAUAUCAAUAAGCGGAGGAAAAGAAACCAACAGGGAUUGCCUUAGUAACGGCGAGUGAAGCGGCAAGAGCUCAAAUUUGAAAUCUGGCGUCUCCGGCGUCCGAGUUGUAAUUUGAAGAAAAGUCUUCGGUGCGGGCCUUGGCCUAUGUUCCUUGGAACAGGACGUCAUAGAGGGUGAGAAUCCCGUUCUUGGCUGAUGGCCUCGUGCUAUGUGAAGGCUUGAUCGAAGAGUCGAGUUGUUUGGGAAUGCAGCUCAAAAUGGGUGGUAAAUUUCAUCUAAAGCUAAAUAUUGGCGAGAGACCGAUAGCGCACAAGUAGAGUGAUCGAAAGAUGAAAAGCACUUUGAAAAGAGAGUUAAACAGUACGUGAAAUUGUUGAAAGGGAAGCGCUUGCAAUCAGACCCGUCUCUGGCUGAUCAACUCCCCUUCUGGGUGGUGCACUCAGCCUCCGACGUGCCAGCAUCGGUUAAUGCGGUGGGACAAAGACUUUGGGAAUGUGAUUCUCUUCGGGGAGUGUUAUAGCCCUUUGUGCAAUGCCACCUGCUGUUGACCGAGGACCGCGCCUUUGGCUAGGAUGUUGGCUUAAUGGUUGUAAGCGACCCGUCUUGAAACACGGACCAAGGAGUCUAACAUCCAUGCGAGUGUUUGGGUGUCAAACCCAUACGCGUAACGAAAGUGAACGGAGGUGAGAACUCGCAAGGGCGCAUCAUCGACCGAUCCUGAUGUCUUCGGAUGGAUUUGAGUAGGAGCAUGGCUGUUGGGACCCGAAAGAUGGUGAACUAUGCCUGAAUAGGGUGAAGCCAGAGGAAACUCUGGUGGAGGCUCGCAGCGGUUCUGACGUGCAAAUCGAUCGUCAAAUUUGGGUAUAGGGGCGAAAGACUAAUCGA
RNAcentral lists this ribosomal RNA (2097 nucleotides) under uncultured fungus. RNAcentral describes it as "bacterial SSU rRNA". The stretch from base 1175 to 2097 matches the Rfam family "Eukaryotic large subunit ribosomal RNA", at positions 1 to 938 of the family's 3401-position model. The record is from RNAcentral. Lineage: Eukaryota; Fungi.